Populus trichocarpa (black cottonwood) is the source of this 1160-nucleotide long non-coding RNA. RefSeq lists it as uncharacterized. The transcript is spliced from 2 exons. Lineage: Eukaryota; Viridiplantae; Streptophyta; Magnoliopsida; Malpighiales; Salicaceae. The record is from RefSeq and is a predicted model, not a curated record.
CAUGUAAGGCCAACCUCUUCAAAAAAAAAAAAAAUGGCAAUUUUUCUUUGAAUUUAAGUCUUAAAGGAUAACCAUGUGUUCUAAUCUUUUCUUCAAACCCAGUAGACAGGAUAUCCUAAUGCAGUGUUCUACCAGCACCAAGAAAAUAGAAAAUUAAAUCAACAUUUGCAUUUCUAAUUUAUAAUAAUUUGUUUGAAGGCCACAAAACGUGUAGAUGGUAGUAGUAAUAACAUAAUUUUAGGGGCAUGAUAUGUUCACAUAUAUGAUUUGGAUGUAGAUUACCUCAUCCUAGUUCCUAAGCAGGAUCAUGCGUGGUUUUCAGUAAUUGUACUUCACUUGAAUAUAGAAAGAAGGGCACAGCUCGAACUGCUAUGUAUCUAAGGCUUGAGUUAGGUGAUCGUUUUUCAUGCAACAGAUAGGCUAGCCUUCAAUAGCUUCCUCCAAGCCAUCCCAACUCUGCUUAUUUCAAAGACAUGUUCAUCCUUUAUAUCUUCUAUGCAGUAACUGAUGAUGGUUCUUUUCUACGAAUAAUUCUCUGAUUUCCAUCAAUAUCAAUACACUCCUUUCACCUGAUCCAGGUUUGAAUAGUUUAUUCUAUGUCUCUUAUCCAAAUCAGAAUAUGUGCAGGGCCUUGGCAGGUGAUGCUUAAAAAAGCAGAUGGCUCAUACUCUUGUGUAGCAGAGAGUGUGACGCGCUUCACACUUGGUGAGUCUGCCACUUGGGAGGAAGAAGAUGUUGAACUUGAAACAUCUUCUGAUUGGCGCAGUUGAGUUAGCAGCAGCAAGCAGAGAAGCACACAUCAGACGCUUAUUGAAAGUCAAGCAGAGAAGUUUCACGCGAGUUUUCGGUGUUGGAGAUUGAUUUGUUCUUUCUUUCAUCUUUUCCUACUCUAUAUAUUUUAUACCCACUUCAAUCCUAGUUUCCUUUCAUAAAUUUCAUUUAUGUAUAUCUUUUGAUAAAGUGAGUAAGGCACAUAGACGCGGCUAUUGUAAAGAACGCACAGGAACUUUGGUCAUGUUCUAUUCUCUGCUUAGUUGCAGAAUGCAAUGCUCAACUGAGCCCAUUACUGUUUAACCCUUUGGUUUGGAAGGAAAUGCUCCUAAUUUGAUAGGAGCACAUAAAAUAUUGCAAGAAUUAUGAGAUUCAUCAUGCUUUGGCCA